AGAAGUUUAGGUUAAACCAGACCAAGAGCCUUCAAAGCCCUAAGCAAGUAUCAUCCACUUAACUUCUG
RNAcentral lists this transfer RNA (68 nucleotides) under Mesoplodon stejnegeri (Stejneger's beaked whale). RNAcentral's name for it is "tRNA-Trp". The record is from RNAcentral. Lineage: Eukaryota; Metazoa; Chordata; Mammalia; Artiodactyla; Ziphiidae.